Molecule: ribosomal RNA, 292 nt
Filed under: uncultured Bacteroidota bacterium
Lineage: Bacteria; Pseudomonadati; Bacteroidota
Description: uncultured Bacteroidetes bacterium partial 16S ribosomal RNA
Source: RNAcentral
GGACUACCGGGGUUUCUAAUCCUGUUUGAUCCCCACGCUUUCGUGCCUCAGCGUCAAUAAAACCAUAGUAAGCUGCCUUCGCAAUCGGUGUUCUGAGACAUAUCUAUGCAUUUCACCGCUACUUGUCUCAUUCCGCCUACCUCUAGUUCAUUCAAGCCCGUCAGUAUCAAAGGCACUGCGAUAGUUGAGCUACCGUCUUUCACCUCUGACUUAACAGGCCGCCUACGCACCCUUUAAACCCAAUAAAUCCGGAUAACGCUUGGAUCCUCCGUAUUACCGCGGCUGCUGGCAC